Molecule: long non-coding RNA, 828 nt
Organism: Leptinotarsa decemlineata (Colorado potato beetle)
Lineage: Eukaryota; Metazoa; Arthropoda; Insecta; Coleoptera; Chrysomelidae
Source: RefSeq, a predicted model, not a curated record
UUGUUGUUUGAACCUUGGAAAAAACUUAAAUCUUCUCCUUUCUCUUGUGAUAUAAAUAGACAAUGAACUAGUGAUAAUCACUCAAAAUGAAUUGGUUUCAAGAUAGACAAGAUAUAUUUUUAGGAGAACGUAGGUUUCACCUAAAUCCAGAUAAAUCAAAGUAUGUAUUAGUGUGUAUAUCAGUGCAUCGAGAUUGUGUUGCUUGUGUUGUAAUAGCUGACACUGGAAAUGGAACUCUAGUAUUUGACGAACGGAAGUGGACAGAAUUAGUCAAAAAUAAGUCAUUCAUUGAUAGUUCACUAACAUCGACAGAAAUUGUGAACACACUAGAUGUUGGAAGAUUUGCAGUGGAAUUUGAGCAGACCCACCCAAAUACUAUUCGAAUUUACAAUGACGACUCUAGUAUUCGUUUGAAUUGUGAAUCGUUGUCAAUAUUAUGGCUUUUGAUACCUAUUCUCCAAUAUAGAAUGGAUGUAUUGAAAUCUCUGAGAUUUGAUGUAGUCAUGAAUAUUCUUCAAUUGGGAGUGAAGUCGAAUAUAAUCAACAGGUCAUUGAAGGUGCUUGAAACAAUCAAAGAAAUUAAUCCUGAAGUAUACACACUCUUGGAUUGAAAAUAUGACGAAAGAAGUUACAUUUGGUAAACAUUCAUUUGCUUUACUCAUGGAAUGACGCUUAUCAAACGGCGAGACGCAGCCCAUGGAAAGAAAUAGGACGUGACCGAAUAAGAUUCCAACGUCGCAUUGAAAAAUCUGUCACAUGUACAAAUCAUAUUUUAGAUGUUAAUCAUAGAAAUAAGGUAUAUGAACAAAUUAUAUACUUAUAUAUUCA